AAUGGGUAUGCCGAGAAAACAUGCAGUUCCCCUAUAAGCCGGGACCAGAGCGGCGUUUCCUCCUCCGGCCUCAGCCUGCAACAAGGCUGAUCCAUCUCAGAGGUGGAGUCUGGGGAACAGGGGAGUCUGAGGGCUGGAGGUGGAGUUUCAUAACACAGAUGGAUGUUCACCACCAUGGCUUUCUCAGACUUUUAAACCAGAAUGAGGUUCAGAGAGCUGUCAGAGGAUGUUGAAUGAACAGAAAUGGAAAAUUGGAACCAAUAUACAUUGAGCUACUUUGUGAAUCACAGUGGGAAAGCGUUGGAGUCCCAGCCUCACAUCACUUAAGACCCCACUCACUCAUAUCCACUGACAGCAGCACUCUCGCAGCCUGCUCCCCAUACCAGGGGGCACUUUCUCCAGGAUGAGCAAGAAAAACUGUUCUCCACUGUACCAGAUAUGGGUUUGAUGAAUUCAGCCCUGUGCAUAUCCAUGAAGGCCACCCAAGAACUUCCAGAAACUUCUGGUUCACCAUGAUCACCAGAAGAACAUCAAUGGAAUUAUUUCCAGUGCCUCGACACUUUGAAGGGAGGCUCAGUGUCCUGAGGCCAAGAUCAGAGGCCCCUUUAAGGUCCCCAGUGGCCAGGGAGGUAGCCUCAGGCUCAGGGCUGACAUCUUACCUGAACUCGGUAAGUUCCUUGCUGAGGUUUUCUGAUAUUACAAUCUGCAAUUGUUCUACUAGAAACUGUUAGUGCCUCAAUCAAUUUGAAAGGUCUUGGGGAAUAAUGACCCCUGUCAAACCUCACACGAUGGGAAGGUUGAGGCUGCAUUGCAGCUUCUUAUAGUCUGGUGCCAAGAGUUGGUUAAGACAAAGUCCAUUGAACUAGGCACCUUUAGGGUUGGUGGCCUUUAACAGAAACCUGUGAUGGC
This 909-nucleotide long non-coding RNA is filed under the name Heterocephalus glaber (naked mole-rat). Its description in RNAcentral is "lncRNA (ENSHGLG00000048893.1)". Lineage: Eukaryota; Metazoa; Chordata; Mammalia; Rodentia; Bathyergidae. The record is from RNAcentral.